CAGAUCCAGGUAUAAUAUUUAAAUGGCGGUCAUAGAAAAGGAGUUUUAGUUUGGAGGCACACAAUAAAAAUAACAUCUAAAAAACAACAACAACAAAACCCCCACAUCUAAAUGCAAUAAAACUGUACCAACGGGUUUGAAGAAGUUAAACUAGAGAUUGGUAUGGGACCUUGUCUGUAGCAAUUGAGCGGGAAGAACGCUACUUUCAGAAACACAGAUCUAGGACCAAAUAAUGCUAUAGUAGUGGAUUAGCUCUCCAUCUUUGCAAAUGCUUACUGAGUCCUUAGUCUCCAGCUCAUGCAACAGAGUUAUCAACUAUCAAUAUCAUCAUGACUGUUUUAAUUAUUUAAUGGAACCCACUGAAGUUGAUGAUGAGCUACCAAGAAAUUUCAGGAACACAGACAUGUCAGUCAGUGUGCCAUUUCUCCUGAAUCUUUUGUACCUAUACGUAUCUAAGAACCCAUUGUAAAAUGCAAAGCACAAAAAUAAAUACAAAUAAAGU
Long non-coding RNA from Heterocephalus glaber (naked mole-rat), 502 nucleotides. RefSeq lists it as uncharacterized. NCBI's taxonomy places the organism in Eukaryota, Metazoa, Chordata, Mammalia, Rodentia, Bathyergidae. The record is from RefSeq and is a predicted model, not a curated record.